UGUGAUAUAGCACAAUGGCUAGUGCAGAGGGUUGUGAACCCUUGUAUGGGAGUUCGAUUCUCCUUAUCACGC
RNAcentral lists this transfer RNA (72 nucleotides) under Candidatus Izimoplasma sp. HR2. Its description in RNAcentral is "Candidatus Izimaplasma sp. HR2 tRNA". It matches the Rfam family "tRNA". Rfam says of the family: Transfer RNA (tRNA) molecules are approximately 80 nucleotides in length. Their secondary structure includes four short double-helical elements and three loops (D, anti-codon, and T loops). The record is from Rfam by way of RNAcentral. Lineage: Bacteria; Bacillati; Mycoplasmatota; Mollicutes; Candidatus Izemoplasmatales; Candidatus Izemoplasmataceae.